RNAcentral lists this ribosomal RNA (440 nucleotides) under uncultured bacterium. Its description in RNAcentral is "partial 16S ribosomal RNA". It matches the Rfam family "Bacterial small subunit ribosomal RNA", at positions 338 to 795 of the family's 1533-position model. The record is from RNAcentral.
CCUACGGGAGGCAGCAGUGGGGAAUAUUGCACAAUGGGGGAAACCCUGAUGCAGCGACGCCGCGUGAGUGAGGAAGUAUUUCGGUAUGUAAAGCUCUAUCAGCAGGGAAGAAAAUGACGGUACCUGACUAAGAAGCCCCGGCUAACUACGUGCCAGCAGCCGCGGUCAUACGUAGGGGGCAAGCGUUAUCCGGAUUUACUGGGUGGAAAGGGAGCGUAGACGGCUAAUCAAGUCAGAAGUGAAAACCCAGGGCUCAACCUUGGGACUGCUUUUGAAACUGAGUAGCUAGAGUGCAGGAGAGGGAAGCGGAAUUCCAAGUGUAGCGGUGAAAUGCGUAGAGAUGAGGAGGAACACCAGUGGCGAAGGCGGCUUACUGGACUGUAACUGACGUUGAGGCGCGAAAGCGUGGGGAGCAAACAGGAUUAGAUACCCGGGUAGUC